This 21-nucleotide small nuclear RNA is filed under the name Arabidopsis thaliana (thale cress). RNAcentral describes it as "snRNA_07335". Lineage: Eukaryota; Viridiplantae; Streptophyta; Magnoliopsida; Brassicales; Brassicaceae. The record is from RNAcentral.
GACGGACCGGGCCUAAGUUCC